UUGAAAGGGAAACGAUUGAAGUCAGUCGUACCAGCGGGAAAUCAACCUUUCGAGUGGGGGUUUUGGAGUUUUGAAGAGUGUCAAAACCUUUGAGAUUUCAAGAUAUUCGCUCUUUUGGUGUACUUUCUCGUGGGUAGGUUAACAUCGAUUUUGAUCAUCAUAAAAAGAUUGGAGGAAUGUAGCUUCGAUCUUGUAUUGAAGUGUUAUAGCCUUUGGUAAAUGUGAUGAUUAGGAUCGAGGAUUGCAACGAAUACCCUUUUGGGCUAUCCGCCUGAUCUCUGAUACGUGGCCUUGGUAUCGAAAGCGUGCUUAUGGUAUUGAGGUAUUACGGUCAAAAGGUUAGAACGGAUUACAUUCGUUAAGGAUGUUGACGUA
RNAcentral lists this ribosomal RNA (375 nucleotides) under uncultured Glomeromycotina. Its description in RNAcentral is "LSU rRNA". Lineage: Eukaryota; Fungi; Glomeromycota. The record is from RNAcentral.